RNAcentral lists this microRNA precursor (65 nucleotides) under Panagrellus redivivus. RNAcentral describes it as "microRNA prd-mir-7872 precursor". Lineage: Eukaryota; Metazoa; Nematoda; Chromadorea; Rhabditida; Panagrolaimidae. The record is from miRBase by way of RNAcentral.
AUUAAAUCAAAAGCGGUAUUUGCGUUGAUUGAUGGUGAAUUCGCAAGUACGUUUUUGAUUUGAGC